MicroRNA precursor from Pteropus vampyrus (large flying fox), 86 nucleotides. Ensembl annotates it as microRNA 27a. NCBI's taxonomy places the organism in Eukaryota, Metazoa, Chordata, Mammalia, Chiroptera, Pteropodidae. The record is from Ensembl.
UGGCCUGGGGAGCAGGGCUUAGCUGCUUGUGAGCAGGGUCUGCACCAAGUCGUGUUCACAGUGGCUAAGUUCCGCCCCCCGGGCCC